Molecule: ribosomal RNA, 254 nt
Filed under: uncultured bacterium
Lineage: Bacteria
Description: partial 16S ribosomal RNA
Rfam family: Bacterial small subunit ribosomal RNA
Source: RNAcentral
UACGUAGGCAGCGAGCGUUGUUCGGAGUUACUGGGCGUAAAGGGUGUGUAGGCGGUUCUUUUAAGUUUGGUGUGAAAUCUCCCGGCUCAACCGGGAGGGUGCGCCGAAUACUGAGGGACUAGAGUAUGGGAUGGGAAAGUGGAAUUCCUGGUGUAGCGGUGAAAUGCGUAGAUAUCGAGAGGAACACCAGUGGCGAAGGCGAGUCUCUGGACGACUCCUGACACUGAGGCACGAAAGCUAGGGGAGCAAACAGG